This 388-nucleotide ribosomal RNA is filed under the name uncultured bacterium. Its description in RNAcentral is "bacterial SSU rRNA". It matches the Rfam family "Bacterial small subunit ribosomal RNA", at positions 30 to 416 of the family's 1533-position model. The record is from RNAcentral.
AUUGAACGCUGGCGGCAUGCUUUACACAUGCAAGUCGAACGGCAGCACGGGGGCAACCCUGGUGGCGAGUGGCGAACGGGUGAGUAAUAUAUCGGAACGUACCCGGAAAUGGGGGAUAACGUAGCGAAAGUUACGCUAAUACCGCAUAUGCCCUAAGGGGGAAAGCGGGGGAUUCGCAAGAACCUCGCGUUUUCGGAGCGGCCGAUAUCGGAUUAGCUAGUAGGUGAGGUAAAGGCUCACCUAGGCGACGAUCCGUAGCUGGUCUGAGAGGACGACCAGCCACACUGGAACUGAGACACGGUCCAGACUCCUAUGGGAGGCAGCAGUGGGGAAUUUUGGACAAUGGGCGCAAGCCUGAUCCAGCCAUGCCGCGUGAGUGAAGAAGGCC